AACCAGGAGCUUGCUCUUGGGGAUUAGUGGCGAACGGGUGAGUAACACGUGAGUAACCUGCCCUUGACUCUGGGAUAACCUCCGGAAACGGAAGCUAAUACCGGAUACGAACUGCGAAGGCAUCUUCAGCAGUUGGAAAGAACUUCGGUCAAGGAUGGACUCGCGGCCUAUCAGGUAGUUGGUGAGGUAACGGCCCACCAAGCCUACGACGGGUAGCCGGCCUGAGAGGGUGACCGGCCACACUGGGACUGAGACACGGCCCAGACUCCUACGGGAGGCAGCAGUGGGGAAUAUUGCACAAUGGGCGCAAGCCUGAUGCAGCAACGCCGCGUGAGGGAUGACGGCCUUCGGGUUGUAAACCUCUUUUAGUAGGGAAGAAGCGAAAGUGACGGUACCUGCAGAAAAAGCACCGGCUAACUACGUGCCAGCAGCCGCGGUAAUACGUAGGGUGCGAGCGUUGUCCGGAAUUAUUGGGCGUAAAGAGCUCGUAGGCGGUCUGUCGCGUCUGCUGUGAAAACCCGAGGCUCAACCUCGGGCCUGCAGUGGGUACGGGCAGACUAGAGUGCGGUAGGGGAGAAUGGAAUUCCUGGUGUAGCGGUGGAAUGCGCAGAUAUCAGGAGGAACACCGAUGGCGAAGGCAGUUCUCUGGGCCGUAACUGACGCUGAGGAGCGAAAGCGUGGGGAGCGAACAGGAUUAGAUACCCUGGUAGUCCACGCCGUAAACGUUGGGCGCUAGAUGUGGGGACCAU
RNAcentral lists this ribosomal RNA (749 nucleotides) under Cryocola sp. Its description in RNAcentral is "bacterial SSU rRNA". It matches the Rfam family "Bacterial small subunit ribosomal RNA", at positions 70 to 832 of the family's 1533-position model. The record is from RNAcentral. Lineage: Bacteria; Bacillati; Actinomycetota; Actinomycetes; Micrococcales; Microbacteriaceae.